This 31-nucleotide non-coding RNA is filed under the name Homo sapiens (human). The record is from RNAcentral. Lineage: Eukaryota; Metazoa; Chordata; Mammalia; Primates; Hominidae.
UCUGGUUAUAUCUCACUUGCGACCUCCGGGC